AGCUGCUGCAAUCCUGUGGAGGACCAUCGCCUCCUCGGCCACCACAGCACACGAGGUGCUGCCAACGCUGCUCGGGGUGAUGGAGGACUGGCCACUGCACAGCGUGUGCACCUCCAACGGGGACCACGUGGACGUCUUUGCCCUGGCUGUGAGUUUCUGGAAGUGGCCUUUGCUCCUCCCCACGUUGCCUCUCCAGCGACUCUCCAUCUUCCCCCACCCUUGCAUCUCCCUCAGGCCUUGGGCUGCAAAUGGGGCUGAGGGGCAGGUCCAGGGGCAGCAGGCCGGCUGCUCCCCCUGGCUCUCCCUGGCCUCUCCCUCCCUCUGGGCACUGAGGGUGUCUCCACGGGGCUUUCUUGCAGGCAACCCUGGCCCUGUGGCUGAUGGUCCAGGAGCUCCAGUGCCAAGAUGCACUGUUCGUUUAUGCCCCUCGUCUCCUCCUGGCUCUGCUCUGCCAAGUUUCUAUGAGCACUGAGCAGAUGCCACAGGAGGUCAGCACCUUCUGGAGGGGAUGCCAGGAGCUACACGGCCUUCCUACCCACCCCAACAGCUUUGUGGUGCAGACCAUCCGGGCCCUGCUCUGCCGGCUGCAGUGGGACCAGGAGCUGGUGUCAGUGGAGCGCAAGCGUGGCUGGGACGCGCUCCUCUCUGCUGACACCCACCACUACGCGGUGGGGCUGCUGGCCAGGGAGAUGCGCCACGUGUUGGUCCCCUCCUAUGGCCCGCUGGCAAGGCACCUGCUGGGGCUGCUCAGCACGGAGGGGCCCCGCUGGGAGCUGCCUGCCCUGGCCUUCCUUGUCGAGGUGAGCCCGAUGGCCAGCGCUGCCUGGCCCCGCUGCCUCCCCCUCUCUGCCCUCUCACAGCCGCAGCUGCCCGGGACGGUGCCUGCGCCCUGUGCUGCUGCCUGGGCCCAGCCCUGGCCGGCUCCGCGCUCCUGCCGCCCGCCCACCCUGGCACUGCUCUCUGCCUUCCAGGUCCUCGACUAUCUGGAUGUGAACACCCGUCAUGACAGUGUCCUGCAGAUCCUGGCAAGGCACCUGCAGAGCCAGUGCCCAGAGAGGCGGCGCCUGGCUCUGCGAGGGCUCCUGGUGCUCAGCGGGGAUCCCUCCAUGGCCAAAAGCAUCUGCAGCCUGUCUGAGCCCUUCCUGGAGCUGCUGCGUGAUAGAGAUGGAGAGCUGGUCAGGAUGACCCUCUCCCUGUUCCUGAAUGUGCUCCAGGAUGAGGAAGACAGGAAGGGACUCAGCUCCACUGCCCCGAGGAUGACUGAGGCGCUCCGGCCAGUCUUUGACAACGACAACAGCCACGUGCAGCUGCUGUCCAUUCGCCUCUUCCGAGAGGUGAUGGAGGUGCUGGCGGAAGAGGGAACAGAGCCCUGGGAGAUGCAGGUGCGCCAGAGCCUGGUCCCACUGUUCUUCCGCUGGCACGACGAGAACCAGCGCGUGGCAGAGGCCGCUCGGGAAGCGCUGCUCUGGGCUGCAAGCUUCCUCCACAGGAAGGACCUGGAGCAGCUGCUGAAGACAGAGCAGCCCUUCAGAUUCUGUGACUACCUGAUGGAAAAGGACAGGAGCCGAAGGGGCGAGCACCUGCAGCAGGCCCUGCCCUACCUGCAGAGCCCACAGGAGCCCCUGCGAGAGGCGGCCGUCAGGUUCAUGGGGGUCGCCGGCUGGCACAUGAGGGAGUGGCAGCAAGACCUGUGGCCCAUCCUCAAGGGUGAGUGAGGGCAGAGGGGCCUCCCUAGGGGCUGCUGGGGACCAGCACACACCCUGGGCAGGGAACUGCAAUCCC
Manacus vitellinus (golden-collared manakin) is the source of this 1782-nucleotide long non-coding RNA. Lineage: Eukaryota; Metazoa; Chordata; Aves; Passeriformes; Pipridae. The record is from Ensembl.